RNAcentral lists this unclassified non-coding RNA (241 nucleotides) under fungal sp. Its description in RNAcentral is "partial internal transcribed spacer region". The stretch from base 1 to 46 matches the Rfam family "Eukaryotic small subunit ribosomal RNA", at positions 1786 to 1831 of the family's 1831-position model. Lineage: Eukaryota; Fungi. RNAcentral also lists the same sequence under 1 other name. The record is from RNAcentral.
AAGUCGUAACAAGGUUUCCGUAGGUGAACCUGCGGAAGGAUCAUUAACACUAAUGAAAUCCAAAACCUUUUGGAUCAACCCAACCUUAGCGAACCGUUCGUAUUUUCCCUUGCCCAAUUUUACCAAACGCAAAAAACUCUGAUGUAAAGUGUCUGAUUACUAUUCUCGUUUCGGUUGUAACGACCAGCGGGAAUCAAAAUCUAACGCAAUACAACUCUUAACAACGGAUAUCUUGGCUCUC